UACGGAAGAUGCGAGCGUUAUCCGGAUUUAUUGGGUGUAAAGAGUGCGUAGACGGGAAAUUAAGUUGGCUUGUGAAAUCCCUCGGCUUAACUGAGGAACUGCAACCAAAACUGAUAUUCUUGAGUGCUGGAGAGGAAAGUGGAAUUCCUAGUGUAGCGGUGAAAUGCGUAGAUAUUAGGAGGAACACCAGUGGCGAAGGCGACUUUCUGGACAGUAACUGACGUUGAGGCACGAAAGCGUGGGGAGCAAA
Molecule: ribosomal RNA, 250 nt
Filed under: uncultured prokaryote
Description: partial 16S ribosomal RNA
Rfam family: Bacterial small subunit ribosomal RNA
Source: RNAcentral